ACAGCAGUCGCCACGGGAACACGGAGGGUGCAAGCGUUAAUCGGAAUUACUGGGCGUAAAGCGCACGCAGGCGGUCUGACAAGUCAGAUGUGAAAUCCCCGGGCUUAACCUGGGAACUGCAUUUGAAACUGUCAGGCUGGAGUCUUGUAGAGGGGGGUGGAAUUCCAGGUGUAGCGGUGAAAUGCGUAGAGAUCUGGAGGAAUACCGGUGGCGAAGGCGGCCCCCUGGACAAAGACUGACGCUCAGGUGCGAAAGCGUGGGGAGCAAACAGGAUUAGAUACCCCAGUAGUCCCUGUCUCUUAUAC
This 305-nucleotide ribosomal RNA is filed under the name uncultured bacterium. RNAcentral describes it as "partial 16S ribosomal RNA". It matches the Rfam family "Bacterial small subunit ribosomal RNA", at positions 505 to 807 of the family's 1533-position model. The record is from RNAcentral.